RNAcentral lists this ribosomal RNA (253 nucleotides) under uncultured bacterium. RNAcentral's name for it is "partial 16S ribosomal RNA". It matches the Rfam family "Bacterial small subunit ribosomal RNA", at positions 524 to 776 of the family's 1533-position model. The record is from RNAcentral.
UACGUAGGGGGCAAGCGUUGUCCGGAAUCAUUGGGCGUAAAGAGCGCGUAGGCGGCCCUGUAAGUCCGCUGUGAAAGUCAAAGGCUCAACCUUUGAAUGUCAGUGGAUACUGCCGGGCUAGAGUCCGGAAGAGGCGAGUGGAACUCCUGGUGUAGCGGUGGAAUGCGCAGAUAUCAGGAAGAACACCGACGGCGAAGGCAGCUCGCUGGGACGGUACUGACGCUGAGGCGCGAAAGCGUGGGGAGCGAACAGG